UCCCGGUUUGGGAUCUGGGACGGGACGGAGCCCCAGAACCACCACGGGCACACCUGGUGAGGCCAGGCUGGCACAGCCACACGGACACGGGCUGUGGAUCUGGGAUCCAGGGUGGGAUCUGGGCCUGGGAUCCGGGACUGGGGUCUGGAUCUGGGAUCCAGGAUCUGGAUCUUGGAUCCAAUCUGGAUCUGGGAUCUGGGUUCCAGCUCUGGGAUCCAGCUCUGGGAUCUGGGAUCCAGCUUUGGGAUCUGGCUCUGGGAUUCAGGAUCCGACUCGGGGAUCCAGUCUGGGUUUGAAAUCCACUCUGGCUCUGGGAUCUGGGUUCCAGCUCUGGGAUCUGGGAUCCAUUCUGGCUCUGAGAUCCAGGAUCUGGGUCUUGGAUCUGGUUCUGGGAUCCAGCUCUGGGUUCCAGCUCUGGGUUCCAUUCUGGCUCUGGAAUCUGGGAUCUGGGUCUUGGAUCUGGCUCUGGGUUCCAGCCCUGGGUUCCAGCCCUGGGUUCCAGCUCUGGGUUCCAUUCUGGCUCUGGGAUCUGGGAUCUGGGUCUUGGAUCUGGCUCUGGAAUCUGGGAUCCAGCUCUGGGAUCCAUUCUGGCUCUGGGUUCCAGCUCUGGGUUCCAGCUCCGGGUUCCAGCUCUGGGUUCCAUUCUGGCUCUGGAAUCUGGGUUCCAGCUCUGGCAUCUGGGAUCCAUUCCAGCUCUGGGUUCCAGCUCUGGGAUCCAUUCUGGCUCUGGGAUCCAUUCCAGCUCUGGGUUCCAGCUCUGGGAUCCAUUCUGGCUCUGAGAUCCAGGAUCUGGGUCUUGGAUCUGGCUCUGGGUUCCAGCUUUGGGUUCCAGCUCUGGGAUCCAUUCUGGCUCUGAGAUCCAGGAUCUGGGUCUUGGAUCUGGCUCUGGGUUCCAGCUUUGGGUUCCAGCUCUGGGUUCCAUUCUGGCUCUGGAAUCUGGGAUCUGGGUCUUGGAUCCGGCUCUGGAAUCUGGGAUCCAGCUCUGGGAUCUGGGAUCUGUUCUGGCUCUGGGAUCCAGCUCUGGGAUCCAGCUCUGGGAUCCGUUCCAGCUCUGGGUUCCAGCUCUGGGUUCCAUUCUGGCUCUGGCAUCUGGGAUCUGGGUCUUGGAUCUGGCUCUGGAGUCUGGGAUCCAGCUCUGGGAUCUGGGAUCCAUUCUGGCUCUGGGAUCCAUUCCAGCUCCGGGUUCCAGCUCUGGGAUCCAUUCUGGCUCUGGGAUCUGGGAUCUGGGUCCUGGAUCUGGCUCUGGGUUCCAGCUCUGGGUUCCAGCCCUGGGUUCCAUCCUGGCUCUGGCAUCUGGGAUCUGGGUCUUGGAUCUGGCUCUGGAAUCUGGGAUCCAUUCUGGCUCUGGGUUCCAGCUCUGGGAUCCGUUCUGGCUCUGGGAUCCAAUCUGGCUCUGGGUUCCAGCUCCGGGUUCCAGCUCUGGGAUCCAUUCUGGCUCUGGGAUCCAGCUCUGGGUUCCAUUCUGGCUCUGGAAUCUGGGAUCCAUUCCAUCUCUGGGAUCCAGCCCUGGGUUCCAGCUCCGGGUUCCAGCUCUGGGAUCCGUUCUGGCUCUGGGUUCCAGCCCUGGGUUCCAUCCC
This is a long non-coding RNA of Zonotrichia albicollis (white-throated sparrow), 1577 nucleotides long. NCBI's taxonomy places the organism in Eukaryota, Metazoa, Chordata, Aves, Passeriformes, Passerellidae. The record is from Ensembl.